Molecule: unclassified non-coding RNA, 581 nt
Filed under: Aspergillus montevidensis
Lineage: Eukaryota; Fungi; Ascomycota; Eurotiomycetes; Eurotiales; Aspergillaceae
Description: sequence contains 18S rRNA gene, ITS1, 5.8S rRNA gene, ITS2, 28S rRNA gene
Rfam family: 5.8S ribosomal RNA (bases 200-353)
Source: RNAcentral
UGGAAGUAAAAAGUCGUAACAAGGUUUCCGUAGGUGAACCUGCGGAAGGAUCAUUACCGAGUGCGGGCCCUCUGGGUCCAACCUCCCAUCCGUGUCUAUCUGUACCCUGUUGCUUCGGCGUGGCCACGGCCCGCCGGAGACUAACAUUUGAACGCUGUCUGAAGUUUGCAGUCUGAGUUUUUAGUUAAACAAUCGUUAAAACUUUCAACAACGGAUCUCUUGGUUCCGGCAUCGAUGAAGAACGCAGCGAAAUGCGAUAAUUAAUGUGAAUUGCAGAAUUCAGUGAAUCAUCGAGUCUUUGAACGCACAUUGCGCCCCCUGGUAUUCCGGGGGGCAUGCCUGUCCGAGCGUCAUUGCUGCCCUCAAGCACGGCUUGUGUGUUGGGCUUCCGUCCCUGGCAACGGGGACGGGCCCAAAAGGCAGUGGCGGCACCAUGUCUGGUCCUCGAGCGUAUGGGGCUUUGUCACCCGCUCCCGUAGGUCCAGCUGGCAGCUAGCCUCGCAACCAAUCUUUUUAACCAGGUUGACCUCGGAUCAGGUAGGGAUACCCGCUGAACUUAAGCAUAUCAAUAAAAGCGGAGG